This 493-nucleotide ribosomal RNA is filed under the name uncultured bacterium. RNAcentral describes it as "partial 16S ribosomal RNA". It matches the Rfam family "Bacterial small subunit ribosomal RNA", at positions 29 to 523 of the family's 1533-position model. The record is from RNAcentral.
AUUGAACGCUGGCGGCAUGCUUUACACAUGCUAGUCGAACGGUAACAGGUUAAGCUGACGAGUGGCGAACGGGGGAGUAAUGCAUCGGAACGUGCCCGAUCGCGGGGGAUAACGCAGCGAAAGCUGCGCUAAUACCGCAUACGAGCUGAGGAUGAAAGCGGGGGACCGUAAGGCCUCGCGCGAUCGGAGCGGCCGAUGUGAGCUUAGGUAGUUGGUGGGGUAAAGGCCCACCAAGCCGACGAGCUGAAGCUGGUCUGAGAGGACGACCAGCCACACUGGGACUGAGACACGGCCCAGACUCCUACGGGAGGCAGCAGUGGGGAAUUUUGGACAAUGGGCGAAAGCCUGAUCCAGCAAUGCCGCGCGGAGGAAGAAGGCCUUCGGGUUGUAAACUGCUUUUGUACGGAGCGAAAAGGUCCUUUCUAAUACAAGGGGCUCAUGACGGUACCGUAAGAAUAAGCACCGGCUAACUACGUGCCAGCAGCCGCGGUAA